UCGUAGUUGGAUACGAAUAGGCCUUCGGGCCAUGCACCUCAGCAAGUUGGCGACGGCUCCCGGGGAGAAACCCUCGGGAGCUGGCUAGCGGAUUGUAAUGUCACCUCGCGCGGGGAUAGAUCCUCUGCAGACGACUAAGUGACCAAGCGGUGCGUGUAAGCGGUCAAGAGGCCUUGUUGCUACGAGUCGCUGAGCGUCAGCCCGACCUUGGCUAGAUUU
This 219-nucleotide ribosomal RNA is filed under the name Penicillium gladioli. RNAcentral's name for it is "partial 28S large subunit ribosomal RNA". The record is from RNAcentral. Lineage: Eukaryota; Fungi; Ascomycota; Eurotiomycetes; Eurotiales; Aspergillaceae.